UGGGGAAUAUUGGACAAUGGGCGAAAGCCUGAUCCAGCAAUGCCGCGUGAGUGAUGAAGGCCUUAGGGUUGUAAAGCUCUUUUACCCGGGAUGAUAAUGACAGUACCGGGAGAAUAAGCCCCGGCUAACUCCGUGCCAGCAGCCGCGGUAAUACGGAGGGGGCUAGCGUUGUUCGGAAAUACUGGGCGUAAAGCGAACGUAGGCGGCUUAGCAAGUCAGGGGUGAAAUCCCAGAGCUCAACUCUGGAACUGCCUUUGAAACUGCUUCGCUUGAAUCCUGGAGAGGCGAGUGGAAUUCCGAGUGUAGAGGUGAAAUUCGUAGAUAUUCGGAAGAACACCAGUGGCGAAGGCGACUCGCUGGACAGGUAUUGACGCUGAGGUUCGAAAGCGUGGGGAGCAAACAG
RNAcentral lists this ribosomal RNA (403 nucleotides) under uncultured bacterium. RNAcentral describes it as "bacterial SSU rRNA". It matches the Rfam family "Bacterial small subunit ribosomal RNA", at positions 355 to 775 of the family's 1533-position model. The record is from RNAcentral.